RNAcentral lists this ribosomal RNA (253 nucleotides) under uncultured bacterium. Its description in RNAcentral is "partial 16S ribosomal RNA". It matches the Rfam family "Bacterial small subunit ribosomal RNA", at positions 524 to 776 of the family's 1533-position model. The record is from RNAcentral.
GACAGAGGGUGCAAACGUUGUUCGGAAUUACUGGGCGUAAAGCGAGUGUAGGCGGUCUUGUAAGUCGGGUGUGAAAGCCCCGGGCUCAACCCGGGAAGUGCACUCGAAACUGCGAGGCUAGAGUAUCGGAGAGGUUGGUGGAAUUCUCGGUGUAGAGGUGAAAUUCGUAGAUAUCGAGAGGAACACCGGUGGCGAAGGCGGCCAACUGGACGAAUACUGACGCUGAGGAGCGAAAGCCAGGGGAGCAAACGGG